Molecule: long non-coding RNA, 742 nt
Organism: Ficedula albicollis (Collared flycatcher)
Lineage: Eukaryota; Metazoa; Chordata; Aves; Passeriformes; Muscicapidae
Exons: 4
Source: RefSeq, a predicted model, not a curated record
CUGUUCGUGCCGAGCUGCAGCCGCUCGGGGCGCUGUGAAGGCAGAAGUUGAGGGGUUGAGCCCUGGGGAGACCUGAACUUAAGGCUGCAGCUGACAGUGAAGAAGGCGCUGUGAAGGCAGAAGUUGAGGGGUUGAGCCCUGGGGAGACCUGAACUCAAGGCUGCAGCUGACAGUGAAGAGGUGACGAGGACAUUAUCUGGUUUGCUCCACCAUGUGCCCCUUUGUCAGGGGAGAAUGGUUGAGGUUGAUGAAAAGUUGUCCUGGGCCCUGCUGGAGGUUCAGUGUUCUUCUGCUGAAGAAGAUGGAUGGUUCUGCUGCUGCCUGGGAUCCUCAUCCAAGCCACGGCAUUCCCAUCAGCCUGCAACAGCUCUGACCUUCCCUCAGAGCUGUCAGGAGUGACAAAUUUGUGUCCUGCCAACUUAAAUGGAGGUGUUAGAUUUUUUGCCCCCCAGGUACUGGGCAUGUAACUGGAAUGGGUUCUGGAACUUUCUGCAUGUUUGCAGUUGGGUGCUGUUGUCUGCAGGGGCUGCAUUCCCUGCCUGGCAGCUCUGUUAUGCUGCCAUAGUCACGAAGGGCAAGGAAUCCUUUCUCAGAGCAGCUGUCAGGUGUGGGGGGAUGGCCUUGUGAGGGAGGAAGGGAGGGCUUGGGUCUCCCCUUCAUGCAGAAAGCUUCAGUGGUGUAUCCCUGGCAGCAGUUUCUGUACUGCAGAGCCUGUUUUCAAUAAAAUCUGAGUAAUGGGUGA